RNAcentral lists this ribosomal RNA (253 nucleotides) under uncultured bacterium. RNAcentral describes it as "partial 16S ribosomal RNA". It matches the Rfam family "Bacterial small subunit ribosomal RNA", at positions 524 to 776 of the family's 1533-position model. The record is from RNAcentral.
UACGUAGGCAGCGAGCGUUGUUCGGAAUUACUGGGCGUAAAGAGUGUGUAGGCGGUGUUCCCAGUCUGUUGUGAAAUCUCCCGGCUUAACUGGGAGGGUGCAGCGGAAACUAGAAUGCUAGAGGGUGGGAGAGGUAAGCGGAAUUCCUGGUGUAGCGGUGAAAUGCGUAGAUAUCAGGAGGAACACCUGUGGUGUAGACAGCUUACUGGACCACAACUGACGCUGAGACACGAAAGCGUGGGUAGCAAACAGG